RNAcentral lists this ribosomal RNA (510 nucleotides) under uncultured bacterium. RNAcentral's name for it is "partial 16S ribosomal RNA". It matches the Rfam family "Bacterial small subunit ribosomal RNA", at positions 28 to 507 of the family's 1533-position model. The record is from RNAcentral.
GACGAACGCUGGCGGCGUGCUUAACACAUGCAAGUCGAACGAAGAGCGAUGGAAGCUUGCUUCUAUCAAUCUUAGUGGCGUACGUGUGAGUAACGCGUAAUCAACCUGCCCUUCAGAGGGGGACAACAGUUGGAAACGACUGCUAAUACCGCAUACGAUCCAAUCCCGGCAUCGGGACUGGAUGAAAGGUGGCCUCUAUUCAUAAUCUAUCACUGAAGGAGGGGAUUGCGUCUGAUUAGCUAGUUGGAGGGGUAACGGCCCACCAAGGCGAUGAUCAGUAGCCGGUCUGGGGGGAUGAACGGCCACAGUGGGAAUGAAACACGGCCCAGACUCCUACGGGAGGCAGCAGUGGGGAAUCUUCCGCAAUGGACGAAAGUCUGACGGAGCAACGCCGCGUGAGUGAUGACGGCCUUCGGGUUGUAAAGCUCUGUUAAUCGGGACGAAUGGUUCUUGUGCGAAUAGUGCGAGGAUUUGACGGUACCGGAAGAGAAAGCCACGGCUAACUACGUG